CUCCUCAUUCCUCCCGAGCGAUACAGUCAAAAGCUAGCAUUCGGGCGGCGGGCUGAGUAACGCGUGGGUAUCUACCCAUCAGAGGGGAUAAACACUGGGAAACACGUGAUAAUACCGCAUAUCAGUUUAUGCCUCAUGGCAUCAGAGCGAAAGGUGCUUUCGGGUGUCACUAAUGGAUGGACCCAUAGUGCAUUAGCUAGUUGGUGAGGUAACGGCUCACCAAGGCCACGAUGCAUAGCCGACCUGAGAGGGUGAUCGGCCACACUGGGACUGAGACACGGCCCAGACUCCUACGGGAGGCAGCAGUAGGGAAUAUUGGGCAAUGGACGCAAGUCUGACCGAGCCACGCCGCGUGAGUGAAGAAGGUUUUAGGAUCGUAAAACUCUGUUGUUAGAGAAGAACAAGGACGUUAGUAUCUGAACGUCCCCUGACGGUAUCUACCCAGAAAGCCACGGCUAACUACGUGCCAGCAGCCGCGGUAAUACGUAGGUGGCAAGCGUUGUCCGGAUUUAUUGGGCGUAAAGCGAGCGCAGGCGGUUUAUUAAGUCUGAUGUGAAAGCCCCCGGCUCAACCGGGGAGGGUCAUUGGAAACUGGGAGACUUGAGUGCAGAAGAGGAGAGUGGAAUUCCAUGUGUAGCGGUGAAAUGCGUAGAUAUAUGGAGGAACACCAGUGGCGAAGGCGCCUCUCUGGUCAUGUAACUGACGCUGAGGCUCGAAAUGCA
Molecule: ribosomal RNA, 722 nt
Filed under: Enterococcus faecalis
Lineage: Bacteria; Bacillati; Bacillota; Bacilli; Lactobacillales; Enterococcaceae
Description: bacterial SSU rRNA
Rfam family: Bacterial small subunit ribosomal RNA
Source: RNAcentral